GCAAUCCGUUCGAUACCGAUCGAGUUAUAGGCAAAAUUUGGUGCAAAAAUGAAGAAAACUUUACAUUUUCUCAAACAGGGUAAGGAACUUGGUUCCUCGAAUAACUUCUGGCACAGACAUCUAAGGGCAUGGCUGUCCAAGAAGAAAAUGUAGCCAUUGGUGCCAUCUAUCGACCACAGGUUAAAGUUUGGCGAUCCGUUGGAUACCGACCGAGUUAUAGGCAAAAUUUGGAGCAAAAAUGAGGAAAAUUUUACAUUUUCUCAAACAGGGUAAGGAACUUGGUUCCUCGAAUAACUUCUGGCACAGACAUCUGAGGGCAUGGCCGUCCAAGAAGAAAAUGUAGCCAUUGGUGCCAUCUAUCGACCACAGGUUAAAGUUUGGCGAUCCGUUGGAUACCGACCGAGUUAUAGGCAAAACUUGGUGCAAAAAUGAAGAAAAUUUUACAUUUUCUCAAACAGGGUAAGGAACUUGGUUCCUCGAAUAACUUCUGGCACAGACAUCUGAGAGCAUGGCCGUCCAAGAAGAAAAUGUAGCCAUUGGUGCCAUCUAUCGACCACAGGUUAAAGAUUGGCGAUCCGUUGGAUACCGACCGAGUUAUAGGCAAAAUUUGGUGCAAAAAUGAGGAAAAUUUUCAUUUUUUUUAAUUUUUUGAUUUUUAUAAUAUUUUUCACUCUUUUUUUAUUUCAAGCAUUAUUAGAGUGAAAAGAAACUCAUUGCAACCCAUUGGCAUUAAAAUAAAACAAUUUAAUUUUUUUUGCAAAAUUUCCCAAAAAAAUCGUAAGGGGUAAGCCUUAUGAAAUUUUCGAGUGGAAAAUUUUUUUGAAAUUUUUUUCUGAUUUUUUAUUCUUUUUUUAAUUUAAAGCACUAUUUAAGUGAAAAGAAACUUAUUGCAACAAAUUCCCAUCAAAAUAUAUCACAUUUCAAAUUUUUGCUACAUUGCUCAAAAAUGCGGAAUUUUUUUCAAUUUCUCAAACAGGGUAAGGAACUUGGUUCCUCGAAUAACUUCUGGCACAGACAUCUGAGGGCAUGUCCGUCCAAGAAGAAAAUGUAGCCAUUGGUGCCAUCUAUCGACCACAGGUUAAAGAUUGGCGAUUUGUUGGAUACCGACCGAGUUAUAGGCAAAAUUUGGUGCAAAAAUGAGGAAAAUUUUCAUUUUUUUUAAUUUUUUGAUUUUUAUAAUAUUUUUCACUCUUUUUUUUAUUUCAAGCAUUAUUAGAGUGAAAAGAAACUCAUUGCAACCCAUUGGCAUUAAAAUAAAUCAAUUUAAUUUUUUUUGCAAAAUUUCCCAAAAAAAUCGUAAGGGGUAAGCCUUAUGAAAUUUUCGAGUGGAAAUUUUUUUUGAAAUUUUUUUCUGAUUUUUUAUUCUUUUUUUAAUGUAAAGCAUUAUUUAAGUGAAAAGAAACUUAUUGCAACAAAUUCCCAUCAACAUAUAUCACAUUUCAAAUUUUUGCUACAUUGCUCAAAAAUGAGGAAAAUUUUACAUUUUCUCAAACAGGGUAAGGAACUUGGUUCCUCGAAUAACUUCUGGCACAGACAUCUGAGGGCAUGGCUGUCCAAGAAGAAAAUGUAGCCAUUGGUGCCAUCUAUCGACCACAGGUUAAAGUUUGGCGAUCCGUUGGAUACCGACCGAGUUAUAGACAAAAGUUGGUGCAAAAAUGAAGAAAAUUUUACAUUUUCUCAAACAGGGUAAGGAACUUGGUUCCGCGAAUAACUUCUGGCACAGACAUCUGAGGGCAUGGCCGUCAAAGAAGAAAAUGUAGCCAUUGGUGCCAUCUAUCGACCACAAGAUAAAGAUUGGCAAUCCGUUGGAUACCGACCGAGUUAUAGGCAAAACUUGGUGCAAAAAUGAAGAAAAUUUUACAUUUUCUCAAACAGGGUAAGGAACUUGGUUCCUCGAAUAACUUCUGGCACAGAUAUCUGAGAGCAUGGCCGUCCAAGAAGAAAAUGUAGCCAUUGGUGCCAUCUAUCGACCACAGGUUAAAGAUUGGCGAUCCGUUCGAUACCGACCGAGUUAUAGGCAAAAUUGGGUGCAAAAAUGAGGAAAUUUUUUAAUUUUUUUUUUAAUUUUUUGAUUUUUAUAAUAUUUUUCACUCUUUUUUUUAUUUCAGGCAUUAUUAGAGUGAAAAGAAACUCAUUGCAACCCAUUGGCAUUAAAAUAAAUCAAUUUAAUUUUUUUUUGCAAAAUUUCCCAAAAAAAUCGUAAGGGGUAAGCCUUAUGAAAUUUUCGAGUGGAAAAUUUUUUUGAAAUUUUUUUCUGAUUUUUUAUUCUUUUUUUAAUUUAAAGCAUUAUUUAAGUGAAAAGAAACUUAUUGCAACAAAUUCCCAUCAAAAUAUAUCACAUUUCAAAUUUUUGCUACAUUGCUCAAAAAUGUGGAAUUUUUUUCAAUUUCUCAAACAGGGUAAGGAACUUGGUUCUUCGAAUAACUUCUGGCACAGACAUCCGAGAGCAUGGCCGUCAAAGAAGAAAAUGUAGCCAUUGGUGCCAUCUAUCGACCACAGGUUAAAGAUUGGCGAUCCGUUGGAUACCGACCGAGUUAUAGGCAAAAUUGGGUGCAAAAAUGAGGAAAAUUUUCAUUUUUUUUAAUUUUUUGAUUUUUUUAUUAUUUUUCACUCUUUUUUUUAUUUCAGGCAUUAUUAGAGUGAAAAGAAACUCAUUGCAACCCAUUGGCAUUAAAAUAAAACAAUUUAAUUUUUUUUGCAAAAUUUCCCAAAAAAAUCGUAAGGGGUAAGCCUUAUGAAAUUUUCGAGUGGAAAAUUUUUUUGAAAUUUUUUUCUGAUUUUUUAUUCUUUUUUUAAUUUAAAGCACUAUUUAAGUGAAAAGAAACUUAUUGCAACAAAUUCCCAUCAAAAUAUAUCACAUUUCAAAUUUUUGCUACAUUGCUCAAAAAUGCGGAAUUUUUUUCAAUUUUUCAA
Anopheles funestus (African malaria mosquito) is the source of this 2913-nucleotide long non-coding RNA. RefSeq lists it as uncharacterized. NCBI's taxonomy places the organism in Eukaryota, Metazoa, Arthropoda, Insecta, Diptera, Culicidae. The transcript is spliced from 3 exons. The record is from RefSeq and is a predicted model, not a curated record.